AGAGUUUGAUCAUGGCUCAGAUUGAACGCUGGCGGCAGGCCUAACACAUGCAAGUCGAACGGUAACAGAAAGCAGCUUGCUGCUUUGCUGACGAGUGGCGGACGGGUGAGUAAUGUCUGGGAAACUGCCUGAUGGAGGGGAUAACUACUGGAAACGGUAGCUAAUACCGCAUAACGUCGCAAGACCAAAGAGGGGGACCUUCGGGCCUCUUGCCAUCGGAUGUGCCCAGAUGGGAUUAGCUUGUUGGUGGGGUAACGGCUCACCAAGGCGACGAUCCCUAGCUGGUCUGAGAGGAUGACCAGCCACACUGGAACUGAGACACGGUCCAGACUCCUACGGGAGGCAGCAGUGGGGAAUAUUGCACAAUGGGCGCAAGCCUGAUGCAGCCAUGCCGCGUGUAUGAAGAAGGCCUUCGGGUUGUAAAGUACUUUCAGCGGGGAGGAAGGGAGUAAAGUUAAUACCUUUGCUCAUUGACGUUACCCGCAGAAGAAGCACCGGCUAACUCCGUGCCAGCAGCCGCGGUAAUACGGAGGGUGCAAGCGUUAAUCGGAAUUACUGGGCGUAAAGCGCACGCAGGCGGUUUGUUAAGUCAGAUGUGAAAUCCCCGGGCUCAACCUGGGAACUGCAUCUGAUACUGGCAAGCUUGAGUCUCGUAGAGGGGGGUAGAAUUCCAGUGUAGCGGUGAAAUGCGUAGAGAUCUGGAGGAAUACCGGUGGCGAAGGCGGCCCCCUGGACGAAGACUGACGCUCAGGUGCGAAAGCGUGGGGAGCAAACAGGAUUAGAUACCCUGGUAGUCCACGCCGUAAACGAUGUCGACUUGGAGGUUGUGCCCUUGAGGCGUGGCUUCCGGAGCUAACGCGUUAAGUCGACCGCCUGGGGAGUACGGCCGCAAGGUUAAAACUCAAAUGAAUUGACGGGGGCCCGCACAAGCGGUGGAGCAUGUGGUUUAAUUCGAUGCAACGCGAAGAACCUUACCUGGUCUUGACAUCCACAGAACUUUCCAGAGAUGGAUUGGUGCCUUCGGGAACUGUGAGACAGGUGCUGCAUGGCUGUCGUCAGCUCGUGUUGUGAAAUGUUGGGUUAAGUCCCGCAACGAGCGCAACCCUUAUCCUUUGUUGCCAGCGGUCCGGCCGGGAACUCAAAGGAGACUGCCAGUGAUAAACUGGAGGAAGGUGGGGAUGACGUCAAGUCAUCAUGGCCCUUACGACCAGGGCUACACACGUGCUACAAUGGCGCAUACAAAGAGAAGCGACCUCGCGAGAGCAAGCGGACCUCAUAAAGUGCGUCGUAGUCCGGAUUGGAGUCUGCAACUCGACUCCAUGAAGUCGGAAUCGCUAGUAAUCGUGGAUCAGAAUGCCACGGUGAAUACGUUCCCGGGCCUUGUACACACCGCCCGUCACACCAUGGGAGUGGGUUGCAAAAGAAGUAGGUAGCUUAACCUUCGGGAGGGCGCUUACCACUUUGUGAUUCAUGACUGGGGUGAAGUCGUAACAAGGUAACCGUAGGGGAACCUGCGGUUGGAUCACCU
This 1528-nucleotide ribosomal RNA is filed under the name Escherichia coli. RNAcentral describes it as "bacterial SSU rRNA". It matches the Rfam family "Bacterial small subunit ribosomal RNA". The record is from RNAcentral. Lineage: Bacteria; Pseudomonadati; Pseudomonadota; Gammaproteobacteria; Enterobacterales; Enterobacteriaceae.